Non-coding RNA from Leptonychotes weddellii (Weddell seal), 71 nucleotides. Lineage: Eukaryota; Metazoa; Chordata; Mammalia; Carnivora; Phocidae. The record is from the annotation of a RefSeq genome assembly.
GCCUGGCUGGCUCAAUCGGGAGCGUGAGACUUUUGAUCUCAGGGUUGUGGGUUCGAACCCCAUGUUGGGUG